Molecule: ribosomal RNA, 420 nt
Filed under: uncultured bacterium
Lineage: Bacteria
Description: bacterial SSU rRNA
Rfam family: Bacterial small subunit ribosomal RNA
Source: RNAcentral
GGAAUAUUGGACAAUGGGGGCAACCCUGAUCCAGCCAUGCCGCGUGUGUGAAGAAGGCCUUCGGGUUGUAAAGCACUUUCAGUGAGGAGGAAGGGGUGAUGGUUAAUACCCAUCAUCAUUGACGUUACUCACAGAAGAAGCACCGGCUAACUCCGUGCCAGCAGCCGCGGUAAUACGGAGGGUGCGAGCGUUAAUCGGAAUUACUGGGCGUAAAGCGCGCGUAGGCGGCGUGAUAAGCCGGUUGUGAAAGCCCCGGGCUCAACCUGGGAACGGCAUCCGGAACUGUUUAGCUAGAGUGCAGGAGAGGAAGGUAGAAUUCCCGGUGUAGCGGUGAAAUGCGUAGAGAUCGGGAGGAAUACCAGUGGCGAAGGCGGCCUUCUGGACUGACACUGACGCUGAGGUGCGAAAGCGUGGGUAGCA